GUCAGAGUGGUGUAGUGGUUUCAGUGAUGAAUUAGGACUCCAGGAGACCAGGGUUCAAAUCUCUGCUCAGCCU
Non-coding RNA from Phrynosoma platyrhinos (Desert horned lizard), 73 nucleotides. The record is from the annotation of a GenBank genome assembly. Lineage: Eukaryota; Metazoa; Chordata; Lepidosauria; Squamata; Phrynosomatidae.